GCUCAGAUUGAACGCUGGCGGCAGGCCUAACACAUGCAAGUCGAACGGUAACAGGAAACAGCUUGCUGUUUCGCCGACGAGUGGCGGACGGGUGAGUAAUGUCUGGGAAACUGCCUGAUGGAGGGGGAUAACUACUGGAAACGGUAGCUAAUACCGCAUAACGUCGCAAGACCAAAGAGGGGGACCCUCGGGCCUCUUGCCAUCGGAUGUGCCCAGAUGGGAUUAGCUUGUUGGUGGGGUAACGGCUCACCAAGGCGACGAUCCCUAGCUGGUCUGAGAGGAUGACCAGCCACACUGGAACUGAGACACGGUCCAGACUCCUACGGGAGGCAGCAGAAGGG
RNAcentral lists this ribosomal RNA (341 nucleotides) under uncultured Escherichia sp. Its description in RNAcentral is "bacterial SSU rRNA". It matches the Rfam family "Bacterial small subunit ribosomal RNA", at positions 22 to 359 of the family's 1533-position model. The record is from RNAcentral. Lineage: Bacteria; Pseudomonadati; Pseudomonadota; Gammaproteobacteria; Enterobacterales; Enterobacteriaceae.